UUGACCUCAAAUCAGGUAGGACUACCCGCUGAACUUAAGCAUAUCAAUAAGCGGAGGAAAAGAAACUAACAAGGAUUCCCUUAGUAACUGCGAGUGAAGUGGGAAAAGCUCAAAUUUAAAAUCUGGCAGUCAUUUGGCUGUCCGAGUUGUAAUCUAGAGAAGUGUUGCCCGUGCUGGACCAUGUACAAGUCUCCUGGAAUGGAGCAUCACAGAGGGUGAGAAUCCUGUCUUUGACAUGGACUGCCAGUGCUUUUGUGGUAUGCUCUCAAAGAGUCGAGUUGUUUGGGAAUGCAGCUCAAAAUGGGUGGUAAAUGCCAUCUAAAGCUAAAUAUUGGGCGAGAGACCGAUAGUGAACCAGUACCGUGAGGGAAAGAUGAAAAGAACUUUGGGAAAGAGAG
Molecule: ribosomal RNA, 398 nt
Filed under: uncultured fungus
Lineage: Eukaryota; Fungi
Description: eukaryotic LSU rRNA
Rfam family: Eukaryotic large subunit ribosomal RNA
Source: RNAcentral